This 74-nucleotide transfer RNA is filed under the name Roseihalotalea indica. Its description in RNAcentral is "tRNA-Ala". It matches the Rfam family "tRNA". Rfam says of the family: Transfer RNA (tRNA) molecules are approximately 80 nucleotides in length. The record is from RNAcentral. Lineage: Bacteria; Pseudomonadati; Bacteroidota; Cytophagia; Cytophagales; Catalimonadaceae.
GGGGAAUUAGCUCAGUUGGCUAGAGCGCUUCGCUGGCAGCGAAGAGGUCAUCGGUUCGAAUCCGUUAUUCUCCA